This is an RNA transcript of Medicago truncatula (barrel medic), 1398 nucleotides long. RefSeq lists it as uncharacterized. The transcript has 6 exons. The record is from RefSeq and is a predicted model, not a curated record. Lineage: Eukaryota; Viridiplantae; Streptophyta; Magnoliopsida; Fabales; Fabaceae.
CAAAUUAGGGUUUUCAAAGAAACCAAUCUCACUUGCCGCUGCUACUUUCUCUCACACUAUUAUCUGCCACUGCUAUCCCUAACUCUCUCUCACACUAUUAUCUGCCACCGCCGCUGCUACUUUCACCUUUUGUUCCUUCCAUUCCACCAAAAAGCUGUCAUGAGCGAACCUUUGUUAUGUUUAACUACAAACAGCUUCAUUGUAGAGAUCGGAUGCUAUUCCUUGAUAAUGAUUUCGAUUUCAACAACGAGUGUAAUUUUUUUGAUUAAACAAGUGAAUGUGAGUCAACAUGUCAGGAGCUCAAGAAGAUGUCUGCAUAUGGGAUUACCAACAAGGUGGCAAAAACUCUCACCUCAAAGCUAAAAAACUCAUUGACGAAAUCCGUUAUUGGUUCACUCAAUCCAAUGGUAAAAAUCACUUAAUUCCGGUUUAUAACUCGAAUUUUGUUUUAUUCUGAUUCUGUACAUUGUUCCUUCCCAAAGCCACUUCAUAUCGAUGACUUGAAAACCCUAAUCUAUGAAGGCAUGGUUGCUGCUUUCGAUCUAAAGAUUUGUGAUGAAAGCGAUGGAGAUGUGAAACAGUACAUGAUUACGCAAUGUUGGAACGGAGGCAAAUUAAUGCCUCUAAUAGGGAUUUGAGCUAUAGCCCUACACAGUCUAAGUUAGCAAUGAUAAUGUCCCUGCCUGCACAAGAGGCAGCCACAUUUAAAAUUAUCCUCUUGCAGCAGUUCCGGAGUGAAAAUAUUUGCAGCAACAAUUCUACUUAUAACUCUGACAUAGAGAGAAAAUUAGUUAGUAUUCAUUCUUAUUAUUGUCUAGAUACUGAGCAACAUAUCUAUACAUAUCCCAUCAUCAUACACUGUGGAGUAUGCUGAGAAAAACCGAGAAAACGGCCUAAGGUCUGACUACAGGAGAGGAUAACGGAAUCAUACAUGAUUUCAAGUGAAAUCAGACAUUUGAAGUGUUCAAGAAGCUGUUCAGCCGCCAUUGCUGUCUUUUUGGCUAAAAGAAAUCUAAACCUAAUCUUUGAGUUUGAAUGCCACCAUCGAUCUCGUUUGUUGGUUCCAUAAAAACGAUGUUUAGAAUGAUCAAAAGGAAGAAGAAAGUCUUCCAGCUCAGGGAAAAGAAAGUCUACUUUGUGGGAUGUUAAGUCAGAAGUUCAAAAGGGUGGCUCCAUAAAAAUGGAACUCAAAAAUUUUAUUUAUUGAUAUUGAUCAUGUUUUAAAUUAUCUUUUACAUAGCUUCUGAUUCGGUUUAUUUCAUUUUAUGAAUUCAAAUAAUACUCUGAUUAAUGGAUGUUUAAAUACAAUUGAUGUUAUAGGAAGUGAUGUUAUAGUUAGCUGAUGUUAUAGGAAGUGAGAGAUAGAAAUAAAAUGGCAUUUGAAUGGAUGUAAGAAAA